ACUGCACCAAAGUUUGAUAGGAGUGAUUCUGGAGCUCAUCCGGAUGAGGCUGUAUCAUGGGGGAAAAUACGGGGUUCUGCUAAAACUGAGGUACAUUGCAAUGCAACAAUUGCUUUCCCUUUGCUGGUUGCUGAAACAUUUGCCAAGAAAGCUGUCGAGACCAUGACUUAAUAUAUAGUUUCAUUGUGAAGAUUGAUUUAUGAUAUAGAGUUUCAAGUAGUCGUGAUGAAGCUGAUAACUGCUGGAUGGGGCUCAGCAGACAUGAUAAUUACCACAUUGUAUUCAAGGGUUUGCAAGAUCCUAUGUAGGAUUAAGAAUACAGAAAUUCACAUUUUUCCCCUUGUGUUAGAUUUUUGGUCUAUCGUAGGGGUUGAGAUGACAUACUAGGGGAAUUUACUUGUUAUUUCUGAUCAUUUUAUUCAAAUUCAAGUUCGAACUCCUAUAUGAAUGC
This is a non-coding RNA of Prunus mume (Japanese apricot), 451 nucleotides long. Lineage: Eukaryota; Viridiplantae; Streptophyta; Magnoliopsida; Rosales; Rosaceae. The record is from RefSeq and is a predicted model, not a curated record.